Cylas formicarius (sweet potato weevil) is the source of this 825-nucleotide long non-coding RNA. RefSeq lists it as uncharacterized. The transcript is spliced from 3 exons. The record is from RefSeq and is a predicted model, not a curated record. Lineage: Eukaryota; Metazoa; Arthropoda; Insecta; Coleoptera; Brentidae.
UCAAUCGGCGGCUGUAUGUUGACUGACAAGAAUAUAAUUGCUGUUAAUCCGGCCCUGCUUCGUGUACAAAUGCAUAGUGGGGAGACAUGAACAUUUUUCGAAAUUGCGGCCCUAUCCUCUUGGGAUUCUACGUUGGACAAAUUCUGAAAACGACCCCAGAAAUAUAAUUGGAGGUUCAAACCCGUGCGAGGUGAGCUUUCAUAUAUGAAACAGACCAGUCAUGGGGACACGAGAUAUGGAAAGUUUCAGCGUAGUCGUCGCCACAUUGCUGCCAACACUGCAUAUAUAAGGAAUCACGAACCAUUCAGGAAUAUUGAGACUUAGACCAGUAUCUUUUUAAGUAGGCAUGUGGGGUAAAGAAGACGCAGAAGCUUCAGUCGGGUACCAUCGGUAACGUAGGCGAUUGAUAUAUUUCCACCACUACAUAUGUUGGAUUGGAAUUUCCCAUUUGAUGCUUUGACUGACUAAAUGAGAAAACUUGGAGGUAAGCUCUUACGGAAUUCUAUGGAAAUAUGUUUAGUAACAUAUUGGUGCAUUACUCUGUCUUCCAGUCAGUUUCACAUAAACUUUGCACGUAUUAUAGAAAUGCCACCUACUUUUUUUUGUGUUAAUAUUAUUGAAAGUAGUAGCUGGUAGCUGUAGUCGUAAGCCCAGAGAGUCUCUGUUUUGAACAUAAUACACAAAAUGGGGCGUUCAAAAACAAUAGACUGCAUGCCUUUUAGAGUCGGCGUAAACUAUGGUCAUAUACCCCUGAUCAAAUUCAGAACUAGAAAAUCGUUGUGUCUCUGCAUUAAAAAUAAUAGUAAAAUUUAUUGUAGGCACCUA